This is a small nuclear RNA of Rattus rattus (black rat), 134 nucleotides long. RefSeq annotates it as U4 spliceosomal RNA. The transcript has a single exon. The record is from RefSeq and is a predicted model, not a curated record. NCBI's taxonomy places the organism in Eukaryota, Metazoa, Chordata, Mammalia, Rodentia, Muridae.
AGCUUUGCACAGUGGCAGUUCAUUGCCAAUGAGGUUUAUUGAGGCACGAUUAUUGUUAAUUGAAAACUUUUCCCAGAAUUACGUAUCAUAUUAGAACACAUUUGAGACUUUCAAGAUUUGUUAUAAAUUUAAUU